RNAcentral lists this ribosomal RNA (446 nucleotides) under uncultured bacterium. RNAcentral's name for it is "partial 16S ribosomal RNA". It matches the Rfam family "Bacterial small subunit ribosomal RNA", at positions 338 to 795 of the family's 1533-position model. The record is from RNAcentral.
CCUACGGGUGGCAGCAGUCGAGAAUCAUUCACAAUGGGGGAAACCCUGAUGGUGCGACGCCGCGUGGGGGAAUGAAGGUCUUCGGAUUGUAAACCCCUGUCAUGUGGGAGCAAAUUAAAAAGAUAGUACCACAAGAGGAAGAGACGGCUAACUCUGUGCCAGCAGCCGCGGUAAUACAGAGGUCUCAAGCGUUGUUCGGAAUCACUGGGCGUAAAGCGUGCGUAGGCUGUUUCGUAAGUCGUGUGUGAAAGGUGCGGGCUCAACCCGCGGACGGCACAUGAUACUGCGAGACUAGAGUAAUGGAGGGGGAACCGGAAUUCUCGGUGUAGCAGUGAAAUGCGUAGAUAUCGAGAGGAACACUCGUGGCGAAGGCGGGUUCCUGGACAUUAACUGACGCUGAGGCACGAAGGCCAGGGGAGCGAAAGGGAUUAGAGACCCCAGUAGUC